AGUGAACGCUGGCGGUAGGCCUAACACAUGCAAGUCGAACGGCAGCACAGUAAGAGCUUGCUCUUACGGGUGGCGAGUGGCGGACGGGUGAGGAAUACAUCGGAGUCUACUUUUUCGUGGGGGAUAACGUAGGGACACUUACGCUAAUACCGCAUACGACCUACGGGUGAAAGCAGGGGAUCUUCGGACCUUGCGCGAUUGAAUGAGCCGAUGUCGGAUUAGCUAGUUGGCGGGGUAAAGGCCCACCAAGGCGACGAUCCGUAGCUGGUCUGAGAGGAUGAUCAGCCACACUGGAACUGAGACACGGUCCAGACUCCUACGGGAGGCAGCAGUGGGGAAUAUUGGACAAUGGGCGAAAGCCUGAUCCAGCCAUACCGCGUGUGUGAAGAAGGCCUUCGGGUUGUAAAGCCCUUUUGUUGGGAAAGAAAAGCAGCAGGUUAAUACCCCGCUGUUCUGACGGUACCCAAAGAAUAAGCACCGGCUAACUUCGUG
RNAcentral lists this ribosomal RNA (492 nucleotides) under uncultured bacterium. RNAcentral describes it as "partial 16S ribosomal RNA". It matches the Rfam family "Bacterial small subunit ribosomal RNA", at positions 29 to 507 of the family's 1533-position model. The record is from RNAcentral.